This 459-nucleotide ribosomal RNA is filed under the name uncultured bacterium. RNAcentral describes it as "partial 16S ribosomal RNA". It matches the Rfam family "Bacterial small subunit ribosomal RNA", at positions 339 to 795 of the family's 1533-position model. The record is from RNAcentral.
CUACGGGAGGCACCAGUAAGGAAUAUUGGUCAAUGGACGCAAGUCUGAACCAGCCAUGCCGCGUGAAGGAUUAAGGUCCUCUGGAUUGUAAACUUCUUUUAUAUGGGACGAAAAAAGGUCUUUCUAGACCCCUUGACGGUACCAUAUGAAUAAGCACCGGCUAACUCCGGGCCAGCAGCCGCGGUAAUACGGAGGGUGCAAGCGUUAUCCGGAUUCACUGGGUUUAAAGGGUGCGUAGGCGGGUAGGUAAGUCAGUGGUGAAAUCCUGGAGCUCAACUCCAGAACUGCCAUUGCUACUAUCUAUCUUGAAUAUUGUGGAGGUAAGCGGAAUAUGUCAUGUAGCGGUGAAAUGCUUAGAUAUGACAUAGAACACCCAUUGCGAAGGCAGCUUACUACGCAUAUAUUGACGCUGAGGCACGAAAGCGUGGGGAUCAAACAGGAUUAGAUACCCCGGUAGUC